This 468-nucleotide ribosomal RNA is filed under the name uncultured bacterium. Its description in RNAcentral is "partial 16S ribosomal RNA". It matches the Rfam family "Bacterial small subunit ribosomal RNA", at positions 28 to 507 of the family's 1533-position model. The record is from RNAcentral.
GACGAACGCUGGCGGCGUGCUUAACACAUGCAAGUCGAACGGAAAGGCCCUGCUUUUGUGGGGUGCUCGAGUGGCGAACGGGUGAGUAACACGUGAGUAACCUGCCCUUGACUUUGGGAUAACUUCAGGAAACUGGGGCUAAUACCGGAUAGGAGCUCCUGCUGCAUGGUGGGGGUUGGAAAGUUUCGGCGGUUGGGGAUGGACUCGCGGCUUAUCAGCUUGUUGGUGGGGUAGUGGCUUACCAAGGCUUUGACGGGUAGCCGGCCUGAGAGGGUGACCGGCCACAUUGGGACUGAGAUACGGCCCAGACUCCUACGGGAGGCAGCAGUGGGGAAGAUUGCACAAUGGGCGGAAGCCUGAUGCAGCAACGCCGCGUGCGGGAUGACGGCCUUCGGGUUGUAAUCCGCUUUCGCCUGUGACGAAGCGUGAGUGACGGUAAUGGGUAAAGAAGCACCGGCUAACUACGUG